ACCACUUCUCAGCUCACUGGCUAAGAUCAAGCAUAACAUCUGUUAUCAGUUUAACAUCUGAUACAUCCUCUAUCCAAAAUUAAGAUAAGGGAUAUUCAACCAGUACUAGCCAAGCUAAAACCUGGAAGCAAACACAAGCUUCCAGGUUUACAGGAA
Small nuclear RNA from Cricetulus griseus (Chinese hamster), 156 nucleotides. Its record names the gene U2. It matches the Rfam family "U2 spliceosomal RNA". Rfam says of the family: U2 is a small nuclear RNA (snRNA) component of the spliceosome (involved in pre-mRNA splicing). The record is from Ensembl. Lineage: Eukaryota; Metazoa; Chordata; Mammalia; Rodentia; Cricetidae.